Molecule: transfer RNA, 74 nt
Filed under: Cryptococcus deneoformans B-3501A
Lineage: Eukaryota; Fungi; Basidiomycota; Tremellomycetes; Tremellales; Cryptococcaceae
Description: tRNA-Gln
Rfam family: tRNA
About the family: Transfer RNA (tRNA) molecules are approximately 80 nucleotides in length. Their secondary structure includes four short double-helical elements and three loops (D, anti-codon, and T loops).
Source: RNAcentral
GGCGACAUCGUCUAGUGGUUAGGACGUUCGGUUUUGAAAUCCGAACGACCUGGGUUCGAACCCCAGUGACGCCU